CAAAUGUGCAUCAUGAAAAAAGUCUGACACAGUUCUUAAGCAAAAAAUAAAAUGUAUAAACAUAUUUGUCAAUUUGUUUUAUUUUUCCAUGUAUGUUUUUUUUGUGUGCAUUUCUAGAGAGAACACUAGCCAAAGAACAACACAAGUUUAUUUUUGCUGUAAUCGUGAACAAAGCAUAACUAAUAUGGUACCAUGGUGUUUCAUUGUAUGUUAGUUAUACGUUGUGACACUGUGUUGUGAAACGCUUUCAUAAAAGGAAGGCAAACUGUUCUUCUGGGAUUUCAAACCAUGCACUGCUGAACAUCUAGUCAAAUGGCUACCCAGACUAUUCACAUCCCCCCCCCCUCCACACCACUGCCACUCUCUGUUGUCAUCUAUGCAUAAUCACUUUAAUAACUCUACCUACAUGUACAUACUACCUCAACUAACCGGUGCCCCUGCACAUUGACUCUGUACCGGCAUCCCCCUGUAUAUAUUGUUAUUUUUUUACUGUUCCUCUUUAAUUACUUGUUACUUUUAUCUCUUAUUCUUAUCUGUAUUUUUUUAAACAGGCACUGUCGGUUAGGGGCUCGUAAGUAAGCAUUUCACUGUAAGGUCUACUACACCUGUUGUAUUCGGCGCAUGUGACUAAUACAAUUUGAUUUGAUUUGCUGCUUAGUGUGUGAGUUAAAAUAUCAAAUGAUAAAUCAUAAAUAACACUAUUCAAUGGAGUAAGUCAAGGGGUAUGAAUACUUUCUGAAGGCACAGCUGGAGUCCUUAUCAAAUGGACUUAAGAUGUUAAGGUAACAGUUGCUGCUAGAAAAAACAAGCUUGCAGGUCUUGUGCAGUGAAAUACCUUGGUUCUCACUUUGAUUUCCUUCAAUCAGUGCAAUCAAAUCAACUAUCAAUUAAUGCCAGUUCAGAAUGCUUUGACUUUCAAAUGUCCUUUCUUUGGUUUUUAAUUAAGUUACUUUUGUUCUUCGGGGGGAAUAAACAAAUGCUAUUCAAACAUCAAUUUGUAAAACUUACAAAAAAUGGCCCUCAAUGUCUUGAAAUGGAGUAGGUACACUGGUGGUUAGUGCCAGCAGGGUGUGCACCAAAGCACAACUUUUUGGUUUUUGAAAACAGCAUAAAUAUUUGACGGUCUGUGCUAUCUCGCAUCCUUGGGAAUCCCAUUGAAGUUGACAUUUUAAAUGGUGUAGGUAAGAAUUAUGGUUAUAGUUAGGGUUUAGGGUAGGGACAUCCCAAGGAUCCCGGAGAGCACUGAAUUGUCAUGACAUUCUGUGACAUAGUACAUUCAUGUUUGGAUGAAAUUAUCAUUUCAUUUACUUUCCACUGUGAGGCUCAAUGUGAAUCAAUGCUCAAAUUCAAAGCCUGUAAAAUGUAAAUAGUUUUACACUCUCAGUAACACUUGUUACUUCUACUUUACUCCUUUAUAAAAACCAUGCUGAAAUUGUUCCUAUUCUUCCCCAGAUGACCAGGAGUCUCCAUCUUCAGAACCUUCAGAAGUAACAUUCACACCCUCUACCACAUCUUUACAAACCAGCUGCUUCACCUGUGAGGGCAUCUGUUUGUCCUCUUCUUCAAGGGUGGAAGCUUUAGGUGUGUCGCUGUCCAUCUUUGUGUUCCAAUUAGUUGCCUGUGGAUUCUCCAAAUCCACCCAGGAUAGGUUGUUAGCCAAGGCUAGGUUCUGAUUGGGUAGCUCGGUCACAUGGUCAUAUGGCUCAUCCGGUUGAUAGGGGGCUCCUGUCUCCAGAUUGGAACCCCAGAAGUUGUUGUGUACACCAGAGCUGAGGAAGCUGUGGAGGUCCCGGGCUUCGCUGUCAGUUUUGGAUGAUCUCUCAGAGUAUCUCUUGUGACCUGCAAAAGGAUCUCCAGAUUCCAGGUGUUUGUUUGGACUUUCUAAGACUUCCCAUUCAUCUGUCUGAAGACAUUCAUUACUUGCCUGAUAGCUAGUGACCUCUUCUGCAGAAUGUUCAAUAAGAGUAUUGCAAUCCUCAUAGUGAGAGACUGCCACAUCUAACAAGUCUUCCUGAUCUGCAGUUAGAUUUGCUUUGGUGACAGGUUGCAAAUACUGGCUUGCAUUUGGCGACUCAUCAUCUGUGCUGUUGGACUCUUCUAUAUCCAAGUUGUUCUUGUCGGUUUGACUCUCAGGCCUGCUGUUUAAACUGCUGUAGAUAGAAUGGCUUUCAGUGAAGUCUGCAUGAGUCGACAUAUAAAGGUUCUGGUCAUCCUGUCCUUCUAUUUUGUCUGGUACAGCUUCAGUUCCCAGUCCCCCACUGAAUACCUUACCUUGAGCCAAAUAUUCUUCUUGGGAUAUUUCUACUGAACCUUCUCUAAGAGAUGUGUGAUCAGAUGUCAUUAGAAUCCUAGAGUGCACCGAAUACAUAACCUCUGAGGAAAUACACUCUUGCUCAGACUGAUUCAGUUUCUCUGCACCUGGAGGUAUACACUCUUGCUCAGACUGAUUCAGUUUCUCUGCACCUGAAGGUAUACACUCUUGCUCAGACUGAUUCAGUUUCUCUGCACCUGAAGGUAUACACUCUUGCUCAGACUGAUUCAGUUUCUCUGCACCUGAAGGUAUAUACUCGGGAUCGGAUUGAUUCAUUUUCUCUCUGUCUGAGGGUAUGUGUUCUUGCUCACAUAUAUCCAGUUUCUCUCCGCCUGAAAUUAUGUACUCUGGCUCGAAUUGAUUCAGUUUCUGUCCACCUAAAGGUAUAUUUUCUUGCUCGAAUUGAUUCAGUUUUUCUCCACCUAAAGGUAUAUUUUCUUGCUCGGAUUGAUUCAUUUUCUCUCUGUCUGAGGGUAUAUGUUCUUGCUCACAUAUAUCCAGUGUCUCGCCGCCUGAAGUUAUAUCCUUUUUGUUCAGAUUGAUUCAGUUUCUCUCCGCCUGAAAUUAUAUACUCUGGCUCAGAUUGAUUCAGUUUCUCUCCUCCUGAAGGUAUCUUCUCUUGUUCAGAUUGAUUCCGUUUCUCUCCACCUAAAGGUAUAUUCUCUUGCUCGGAUUGAUUCCGUUUCUCUCCGCCUGAAGUUAUGUACUCUGGCUCGGAUUGAUUCCGUUUCUCUCCGCCUGAAGUUAUAUCCUCUUGUUCAGAUUGAUUCAGUUCCUCUCUGUCUGAGGGUAUGUGUUCUUGCACAUAUAGAUUCAGUUUCUCUCCGCCUGAAGUUAUGUACUCUGGCUCGGAUUGAUUCAGUUUCUCUCCACCUGAAGGUAUAUACUCUGACUCGGAUUGAUUCAUUUUCUCUCCGUCUGUUGGUAUGUGUUCUUGUGCAUUUACGUUCUGUUUCUCUCCGCCUGAAGUUAUGUACUCUGGCUCGGAUUGAUUCAGUUUUUCUCCACCUAAAGGUAUAUGUUCUUGUUCAGAUUGAUUCAUUUUCUCUCCGCCUGAAAUUAUAUACUCUGGCUCGAAUUGAUUCAGUUUCUGUCCACCUAAAGGUAUAUUCUCUUGUUCAGAUUGAUUCAGUUUCUCUCCGCCUGAAAUUAUAUACUCUGGCUCGAAUUGAUUCAGUUUCUGUCCACCUAAAGGUAUAUUUUCUUGCUCGAAUUGAUUCAGUUUUUCUCCACCUAAAGGUAUAUUUUCUUGCUCGGAUUGAUUCAUUUUCUCUCUGUCUGAGGGUAUAUGUUCUUGCUCACAUAUAUCCAGUGUCUCGCCGCCUGAAGUUAUAUCCUCUUGUUCAGAUUGAUUCAGUUUCUCUCCGCCUGAAAUUAUAUACUCUGGCUCAGAUUGAUUCAGUUUCUCUCCUCCUGAAGGUAUCUUCUCUUGUUCAGAUUGAUUCCGUUUCUCUCCACCUAAAGGUAUAUUCUCUUGCUCGGAUUGAUUCCGUUUCUCUCCGCCUGAAGUUAUGUACUCUGGCUCGGAUUGAUUCAGUUUCUCUCCGUCUGUUGGUAUGUUUUCUUGUGCAUUUACGUUCUGUUUCUCUCCGCCUGAAGGUAUAUGCUCUUGCUCAUAUUGAUUCAGUUUCUCUCCGCCUGAAGGUAUCUUCUCUUGUUCAGAUUGAUUCAUUUUCUCUCCAUCUGAGGGUAUGUUUUCUUGCACAUAUAGAUUCAGUUUCUCUCUGCCUGAGGGUAUAUACUCUUGUUCAGAUUGAUUCAGAUUCUCUCCAUCUGUGGGUAUGUGUUCUUGUGCAUUUAGAUUCAGUUUCUCUCCUCCUGAAGGUAUAUACUCUUGUUCAGAUUGAUUCAGUCUCUCUGAGUGUAUAUACUCUUGCUCAGGUUGAUUCAGUCUCUCUGAGUGUAUAUACUUUUGCUCAGUUUGAUUCAGUCUCUCUGAGUGUAUCUGCUCUACCUCCUCACUGUAUAAUAUGUCUUGUGUCUGGGAAAGUUCAGUGUGAGACUCAAUUUGAAGACUCAGUACUGACUCGCUCUCAAUCAUCUGCCCAGUAAAGUGUUCACUGUAACUGGAUAUAGAUAAAUUCUCUAGCUCUUGCUCCACCAAUCUAUCAAUUCUUUCUUCAUUAUAGUCCUCAUCAGAGCACACCAUGGAGUACUCUCCAGGUUCUGUAAGUUCCUCAUAGGAUUGCUCCUCUUCUGCCUCCUGAAUCAACUGAUCUACAGCAUUCUCCUCAUCGUUCUCCUGUGUAGCAUGCUCCUUUGUUUGGCUAGCAUCCACGUCGCCUUGGUGAGUGGAGCCCAUGUGACGUUCCUGAUCUAUGACAUCUCCUUCUGACUCUUCAUACAGAUCCUCCAUGGUGUCAAACUGUUUGGACUUGCCUUCGCCCCAGGUGUCUGUUCCUGUCUGGCAAACCUCCCUGUCCUCUUCACCAUCACUGGAGUCGCUCUCGCCCAUGUGUGAAGCCAGAGUGUUGACAUCCGUCUCGUCACUCUUGUAACGGAUCAAGGGGUGUGUGUCGGCUAGUGUGUUGUCCUGAGCAUAGCUGUCGCCUUCUAGCUCAGCCCUCCAUGAAACAGAAUUAUUUUGACAGUAGUUUGCCUCAUCAUGAUCCUCUUUGUCAUUGUCGGAUAUAUUCAGUUUAUCUCCGCCUGAAGUUAUGUACUCUGGCUCGGAUUGAUUCAGUUUCUCUCCACCUGAAGGUAUAUACUCUGACUCGGAUUGAUUCAUUUUCUCUCCGUCUGUUGUUAUGUGUUCUUGUGCAUUUACGUUCUGUUUCUCUCCGCCUGAAGUUAUGUACUCUGGCUCGGAUUGAUUCAGUUUCUCUCCGCCUGAAGGUAUAUGUUCUUGCUCAGAUUGAUUCAGUUUCUCUCCGUUUGAAUUGAUAUACCUUUGCUCAGACUGAUUCAGUUUCUCUCUGCCUGAAGGUAUUUGCUCUUGCUCGAAUAGAUUUUGUUUCUCUUCAUUUGAAGGUAUAUACUCUUGAUCAGACCGAUUGGGUUGGGCUUCUCUGUUAUUCCACAUCUCUUCCUCUUUCACAUGAUACUUUGCUUCUUUCCAAUCAUCCAUUCUUUCUCCAAUUCCAUUCUCUUCAUUGUACCCUGCCACUCGAUCCCAUUCAUCCUUUACAUCCCCAUUGGGGUUCAGUGCAUGUUGUUCCUCACGUUUGUUAGACAUAUCAUUUUCAUCAUCCACUUUUGUGAAAUUUAUGUCACCUUCCUCCACUCUUUCAACAUGGUGAAAUACCUCUUCUGACCAGUGAGAAGCUUGAGCAGAUUCAUAUGAGAUAAUCUCCUCUUGGUUGAACUUAUCGAUUCUUUCUGUCAUGUCAUUUUCCUUAAUGAAUCCUCCCAAUCUUUCACAAUCAUCGUUACCAUACCCAUAGGGGUGCAAUUCAUCUUCCAAUUGCUCCUCAUGUUUGUUAGACAUAUCAUUUUCAUCCUCUUUUGGGAGAUGAAUAACAUCUUCCUCCAGUCUUUUAACAUGGCGAAAUGCCUCUUCUGAACCGUGGGAGGCUUGAGUGGAUUCAUAUGACAUAUUGUCCUCUUGGUUGAACUCUAUUGGCUUGUUGUAACUUUUCCCCGCCCCAUACUCAAAAGCUUGACUGCUUGUGAAGGUUUCAAAUGCUUGCUCUAGCACUGAUGCAGUUUCAGAUUCCAAGCCUUCGUUUCUCGCCCAUUCAGCAUCUUUCUUUGCUGUUUCAAGCUCUCUUUCCUCCGAUGCAUUCAUGGGACCGUAAGGCAUAUCUAGUAGAGGUUCCUCUUUUUCAAAAUACAUUUCAAAAGGUACAUCAUUAUCAUCAUUCGCUGAGAAAGCAGAAUGUGCCCCUGUCACCGAACCUGCUCUCUCAUAGCUCACUGAAGGGCUGUAGAGCUCUUGAGCAUCAGUGCUGAACACAGUUGGCAUACUGAAGCUGGUCUCGACCCGGUGACUCAUGGCAGAUUCCAGAACGGGUUUCUCUUCAGCAAACCAGGUUCUGACUAUGUUCUGAUCCUCUUCCUCCUUUUCCAUAUCCCACAUGGAUUGUUCCUUGUGGUCAGAUCCAAGCAAAGAUACAACAUCAGCUCCUGCCUCUUCAGUGGGAGGUGAGAGAGGCUCAGCAUAGUUGACUUCUAUAUGGACAUCUUGGGGUCUGAAGUGGUGGACUGAAAUUCCGUCCUGUGGUACUUUGAGGUAAGGCGUUGAACAACUUACCUGGUGGUUGGACCCUACGCCAAAGUCGAUAUGCUCUUCUGUCUUUCGACAACUCUCAGGUGUUUCAUUCAGGGUUACCCGAUUUUGAGUCCAGAUUGGUGAUGCGGACAUCAUUGUCACAUUGGAUCGUGGACUUGCUCUAUGGAUGGUAGAGAUGGGCCUGAUCAUGUGACUGGUAGCCAGCUGUGUCUGGAAGCUUUGCUUAACCCCUCG
Molecule: long non-coding RNA, 6716 nt
Organism: Oncorhynchus tshawytscha (Chinook salmon)
Lineage: Eukaryota; Metazoa; Chordata; Actinopteri; Salmoniformes; Salmonidae
Source: Ensembl